Strigops habroptila (Kakapo) is the source of this 447-nucleotide long non-coding RNA. RefSeq lists it as uncharacterized. The record is from RefSeq and is a predicted model, not a curated record. The transcript is spliced from 2 exons. Lineage: Eukaryota; Metazoa; Chordata; Aves; Psittaciformes; Psittacidae.
UGCAGUACUUCAUUGGUGGGUGGACAAGUUAUAAGCUUCAUCUGAGACCAUUCAACUUGUUUUGUUUGAUGCUUAAUACUCUUAAGUCGAACAUGAAAGUGAAUCUGUGUUUCUGCUUUAAAAUGAGUGACUUAUUCAAAACUAAAACCACUUAUUAUUGUUACUGUAGCUUUUGAUAAGGUUUUGGCUGAUACCUGCUGUUACUUCUGUCUGUGUUGUGUGAGUUAAAAUGCUGCUUUUAUUUCUAUGUUAACAAGGAGCUCUUCCAUGAUAGUAGGUAUUUUAGAUGUUGUAGUUACAGAAUAGACAUUUGUACUGCACAGUGAACACCCAAGUGUGCUUUGUAGUUCCCUUGGUUUCAAUUCUGUGCUAGAGGAAUCUGUACUUUUCCUCUGCAUUGGAAGGAUUUGCAUUCCUUUUACAUGUAUUCAGAAGGACAGUACAUUU